RNAcentral lists this transfer RNA (68 nucleotides) under Luciosoma bleekeri. RNAcentral describes it as "tRNA-Ala". It matches the Rfam family "tRNA". Rfam says of the family: Transfer RNA (tRNA) molecules are approximately 80 nucleotides in length. Their secondary structure includes four short double-helical elements and three loops (D, anti-codon, and T loops). The record is from RNAcentral. Lineage: Eukaryota; Metazoa; Chordata; Actinopteri; Cypriniformes; Danionidae.
AGGGUUUUAGUUUAAUUAAAAUAUUUGACUUGCAAUCAGAAGAUGUGGAGUAACAUCUGCAAAUCCUA